AUUCCAGCUCCAAUAGCGUAUAUUAAAGUUGUUGCAGUUAAAAAGCUCGUAGUUGGAUUUCUGAUAGGGAGCCGAUCACCACUGUUGUGAGUGUUAGGUACCUGUCAUCCUUCUGUUAACCCCUGCGGCAUUCAUUUGUCGUUGGGCGGACCAGGUACUUUACCUUGAGAAAAUUAGAGUGUUUCAGGCAGGCCUAGCCGGAAUACAUUAGCAUGGAAUAAUGGAAUAGGACUAUGGUCUCGUCGUUGGUUACGUGGACUGCAGUAAUGAUUAAUAGGGAUAGUUGGGGGCAUUAGUAUUUAUUAGCUAGAGGUGGAAUUCUCUAAUUUGAUAAAGACUAACUUAUGCGAAAGCAUUUGCCAAGGAUGUUUUCAUCA
RNAcentral lists this ribosomal RNA (377 nucleotides) under Strombidiidae sp. RNAcentral describes it as "partial small subunit ribosomal RNA". It matches the Rfam family "Eukaryotic small subunit ribosomal RNA", at positions 582 to 975 of the family's 1831-position model. Lineage: Eukaryota; Ciliophora; Spirotrichea; Strombidiidae. The record is from RNAcentral.